Molecule: ribosomal RNA, 596 nt
Filed under: Dujonia zeylanoides
Lineage: Eukaryota; Fungi; Ascomycota; Pichiomycetes; Serinales; Debaryomycetaceae
Description: LSU rRNA
Rfam family: Eukaryotic large subunit ribosomal RNA
Source: RNAcentral
AGCCCAAAGGGUCAUGCCUCAGNUACGGCGAGUGAAGCGGCAAAAGCUCAAAUUUGAAAUCUAGCACUUUCAGUGUUCGAGUUGUAAUUUGAAGAAGGUAACUUUGGUUUUGGCUCUUGUCUAUGUUCCUUGGAACAGGACGUCACAGAGGGUGAGAAUCCCGUGCGAUGAGAUGCCCAAUUCCAUGUAAAGUGCUUUCGAAGAGUCGAGUUGUUUGGGAAUGCAGCUCUAAGUGGGUGGUAAAUUCCAUCUAAAGCUAAAUAUUGGCGAGAGACCGAUAGCGAACAAGUACAGUGAUGGAAAGAUGAAAAGAACUUUGAAAAGAGAGUGAAAAAGUACGUGAAAUUGUUGAAAGGGAAGGGCUUGAGAUCAGACUUGGUAUUUUGCGUUCCCUUCCUUUUUGGUUGGGUUCCUCGCAGUUUACUGGGCCAGCAUCGGUUUGGAUGGUAGGAUAAUGACAUUGGAAUGUAGCUUUACUUCGGUGAAGUGUUAUAGACUUUGUUGAUACUGCCUAUCUAGACCGAGGACUGCGUCUUUGACUAGGAUGCUGGCGUAAUGAUCUUAUGCCGCCCCUCCUGUAACGCGGAAUCACACCA